Molecule: ribosomal RNA, 1298 nt
Filed under: metagenome
Description: bacterial LSU rRNA
Rfam family: Bacterial large subunit ribosomal RNA
Source: RNAcentral
UAUACGACCGUACCGCAAACCGACACUGGUGCGCGAGAUGAGUAUUCUAAGGCGCUUGAGAGAACUCAGGAGAAGGAACUCGGCAAAUUGACACCGUAACUUCGGAAGAAGGUGUGCCCUAUUAGUGUGAAGUGAACAACGGAGCAUGAAUGGGUUGCAAAAAAUCGGUGGCUGCGACUGUUUAUUAAAAACACAGCACUCUGCAAACACGAAAGUGGACGUAUAGGGUGUGACGCCUGCCCGGUGCUGGAAGAUUAAAUGAUGGGGUGCAAGCUCUUGAUUGAAGUCCCAGUAAACGGCGGCCGUAACUAUAACGGUCCUAAGGUAGCGAAAUUCCUUGUCGGGUAAGUUCCGACCUGCACGAAUGGCGUAACGAUGGCCACACUGUCUCCUCCUGAGACUCAGCGAAGUUGAAAUGUUUGUGAUGAUGCAAUCUCCCCGCGGAAAGACGGAAAGACCCCAUGAACCUUUACUGUAGCUUUGUAUUGGACUUUGAACAGAUCUGUGUAGGAUAGGUGGGAGGCUUUGAAGCAGGGUCGCUAGAUCUUGUGGAGCCAACGUUGAAAUACCACCCUGGUGUGUUUGAGGUUCUAACCUAGGUCCAUUAUCUGGAUCGGGGACAGUGCAUGGUAGGCAGUUUGACUGGGGCGGUCUCCUCCCAAAGCGUAACGGAGGAGUUCGAAGGUACGCUAGUUACGGUCGGACAUCGUGACGAUAGUGCAAUGGCAUAAGCGUGCUUAACUGCGAGACUGACAAGUCGAGCAGAUGCGAAAGCAGGACAUAGUGAUCCGGUGGUUCUGUAUGGAAGGGCCAUCGCUCAACGGAUAAAAGGUACUCUGGGGAUAACAGGCUGAUACCGCCCAAGAGUUCAUAUCGACGGCGGUGUUUGGCACCUCGAUGUCGGCUCAUCUCAUCCUGGGGCUGUAGCCGGUCCCAAGGGUAUGGCUGUUCGCCAUUUAAAGAGGUACGUGAGCUGGGUUUAAAACGUCGUGAGACAGUUUGGUCCCUAUCUUCCGUGGGCGCUGCAGAUUUGAGGAAGCCUGCUCCUAGUACGAGAGGACCGGAGUGGACACACCUCUGGUGUAUCGGUUGUCACGCCAGUGGCAUUGCCGAGUAGCUAAGUGUGGAAGAGAUAACCGCUGAAAGCAUCUAAGCGGGAAACUCGUUUCAAGAUGAGAUCUGCCGGGGCCUUGAGCCCCCUGAAGAGUCGUUCAAGACCAGGACGUUGAUAGGUCAGGUGUGGAAGCGCAGUAAUGCGUUAAGCUAACUGAUACUAAUUGCUCGUGCGGCUUGACCAA